AGUUCGGAUUGUAGUCUGCAACCCGACUACAUGAAGCCGGAAUCGCUAGUAAUCGCGGAUCAGAAUGCCGCGGUGAAUACGUUCCCGGGUCUUGUACACACCGCCCGUCACACCAUGGGAGUCGGGAAUGCCCGAAGUCAGUGACCCAACCCAAGGGAGGGAGCUGCCGAAGGCAGGCCUGGUGACGUGGGGUGAAGUCGUAACAAGGUAAC
RNAcentral lists this ribosomal RNA (212 nucleotides) under uncultured bacterium. Its description in RNAcentral is "partial 16S ribosomal RNA". It matches the Rfam family "Bacterial small subunit ribosomal RNA", at positions 1290 to 1500 of the family's 1533-position model. The record is from RNAcentral.